UACGUGAGGGGCGAACGUUGUUCGGUGUCAGCUGGGCUUAAAGGGUGCGUAGGUGGUUGCGUAAGUAAGGUGUGAAAUCCCUCGGCUUACCCGGGGAAUUGCAUUUAUACUGCGUGGCUUGAGGACUAAAGGGGAAAAGGGAACUCCAGGUGUAGCGGUGAAAUGCGCAGAUAUCUGGGGGAAGGCCGGCGGCGAAGGCGCUUUUCUGGUUAGUACCUGACACUGAGGCACGAAAGCGUGGGGAGCAAACAGGG
This 254-nucleotide ribosomal RNA is filed under the name uncultured bacterium. RNAcentral describes it as "partial 16S ribosomal RNA". It matches the Rfam family "Bacterial small subunit ribosomal RNA", at positions 524 to 777 of the family's 1533-position model. The record is from RNAcentral.